AGAGUUUGAUCCUGGCUCAGGAUGAACGCUGGCGGCGUGCCUAAUACAUGCAAGUCGAGCGAAUGGAUUAAGAGCUUGCUCUUAUGAAGUUAGCGGCGGACGGGUGAGUAACACGUGGGUAACCUGCCCAUAAGACUGGGAUAACUCCGGGAAACCGGGGCUAAUACCGGAUAACAUUUUGAACUGCAUGGUCCGAAAUUGAAAGGCGGCUUCGGCUGUCACUUAUGGAUGGACCCGCGUCGCAUUAGCUAGUUGGUGAGGUAACGGCUCACCAAGGCAACGAUGCGUAGCCGACCUGAGAGGGUGAUCGGCCACGCUGGGACUGAGACACGGCCCAGACUCCUACGGGAGGCAGCAGUAGGGAAUCUUCCGCAAUGGACGAAAGUCUGACGGAGCAACGCCGCGUGAGUGAUGAAGGCUUUCGGGUCGUAAAACUCUGUUGUUAGGGAAGAACAAGUGCUAGUUGAAUAAGCUGGCACCUUGACGGUACCUAACCAGAAAGCCACGGCUAACUACGUGCCAGCAGCCGCGGUAAU
This 536-nucleotide ribosomal RNA is filed under the name uncultured bacterium. Its description in RNAcentral is "bacterial SSU rRNA". It matches the Rfam family "Bacterial small subunit ribosomal RNA", at positions 8 to 524 of the family's 1533-position model. The record is from RNAcentral.